GACGAACGCUGGCGGCGUGCUUAACACAUGCAAGUCGAACGGUCCUGUUUUUGAAGCGCUUCGGCGUGGAGGGAGCGGGUUAGUGGCGCACGGGUGAGUAAUGCGCGAGGACCUGCCCGCGGGAGGGGGACAGCAGUUGGAAACGGCUGGUGAUACCCCGUAAGCCGGGAGGUAAAAGGGCGGAGACGCCCGCCUGCGGAUGGACUCGCGUCCUAUCAGCUAGUUGGUGAGGCAACGGCUCACCAAGGCGACGACGGGUAGCCGGCCUGAGAGGGUGAACGGCCACACUGGGACUGAGACACGGCCCAGACUCCUACGGGGGGCAGCAGUGGGGGAGUCUUGCACAAUGGGCGGAAGCCUGAUGCAGCGACGCCGCGUGAGCGAAGAAGGCCUCGGUUGUAAGCUCUGUCUGGAGGGACGGAAACGAAAUAGACGGUACCGUCCGGACGGAAGGCCACGGCUAACUAACGUGCCAGCAGCCGCGGUAAAAGUAGUGUGUA
RNAcentral lists this ribosomal RNA (500 nucleotides) under uncultured bacterium. Its description in RNAcentral is "bacterial SSU rRNA". It matches the Rfam family "Bacterial small subunit ribosomal RNA", at positions 28 to 536 of the family's 1533-position model. The record is from RNAcentral.